GUUUCAUUUCGUAUAUAAAAAAAGCUUUGAGAGAAGAUCAACCACAGUUAUCAUAGUGAAGGUGAGAUAAUCUAUUCAUUUAACCACCGUCUGAAGUUAAUUUCUGAUUUGUCGCCAUGAACAAAGUACUUCUCACAGUUCUGGUGUUCGUGCUAGUUGCUGGUGUGUUUGUUGAUCAAGGUGAAGCCCUGCUUAGAGCCGGUAGAGAUCGGAUCGAGAAAAUGCAACGAGAUGAGUCAGCGGCAAUGGAGACAGCUCAGGAAGAAUUACGAGGUGACGCUUAUUGCUACACUGCAGAUGGAGUACAAAGGAAGAAAAAAUGGCAACGAAAUUAAUUGAUCAUCUGUAACUCAUCGAUAGCAAAUAAUGCCCAUGACAACAAAGAAAGCUCUAAACUUGUAUUAACAACGCACUUCAGCUCUGAAUAAAAAUUGCAAUUUAUGGUA
Long non-coding RNA from Pocillopora verrucosa, 446 nucleotides. RefSeq lists it as uncharacterized. The record is from RefSeq and is a predicted model, not a curated record. Lineage: Eukaryota; Metazoa; Cnidaria; Anthozoa; Scleractinia; Pocilloporidae.